UUCAGGUAUCUAUGAAUGAUAUGGAUUUUAAUAUAUUAUGGAUGGGAAACCAUCCUAAGCCAGAUAUUUUGCGGAAUUUACUGCCUUAUCAAAAAGUGAAUCAUUUUCCUAGGUCUUAUGAAAUUACCCGUAAGGAUCGUCUUUACAAAAAUAUUGAAGCUAUGCAGAGGAGUAAAGGCCUUCGAAAUCUUGAUUUCAUACCUCAGACAUUCCUACUGCCUACUGAAGCCAAAGAAUUGAUUUCAGCGCACUUUAGAUAUAGAGGACCAUGGAUUGUUAAGCCUAAAGCCAGUUCACGAGGUCGUGGUAUUUACAUUGUUAAUAAUGUAAGAAUACAUAUACAAUAAUUUUUAUGUGCACUAUUA
Camponotus floridanus (Florida carpenter ant) is the source of this 365-nucleotide long non-coding RNA. RefSeq lists it as uncharacterized. Lineage: Eukaryota; Metazoa; Arthropoda; Insecta; Hymenoptera; Formicidae. The record is from RefSeq and is a predicted model, not a curated record. The transcript has 2 exons.